This 350-nucleotide long non-coding RNA is filed under the name Glycine max (soybean). RNAcentral's name for it is "long non-coding RNA (GMAX_LNC003062)". The record is from RNAcentral. Lineage: Eukaryota; Viridiplantae; Streptophyta; Magnoliopsida; Fabales; Fabaceae.
CUGGAAGCAGUAUUUGGAUGGUGAUGGGGAUGAACACAUGUCCAAUCAAAGUCGUACUGGUAAUGAUGGUGUUGCUGUGUCCGUUUGAUGAGAGAGAAUUAAUUGGGAGUCAGUAGAUGCCAGUCUUAUCAUGCGACUCAGUCUGAUGCCAUUACUUGAGCCGUCUGAUCUUAUUCUUCUUUUUCCUUUUCCGGGUGAAUGCUUUCUUCUUGGUCUGAGAUAUAACUACGUGGGCCCCACCCCCUUCCGUCCUUUUAUUUCGUUUUCAUCAUCAUUUUGCAUUUUCGUCCUUGCAUCCCUCCUCAUUUUUUUAAUAAGUAUUUUAACUCUCCAUGUUUUUAAAAUAAUUA